AGCGAACGCUGGCGGCAGGCCUAACUCAUGCAAGUCGAACGAAGUCUUCGGACUUAGUGGCGGACGGGUGAGUAACACGUGGGAACGUGCCUUUAGGUUCGGAAUAACUCAGGGAAACUUGUGCUAAUACCGAAUGUGCCCUUCGGGGGAAAGAUGUGUCGCCUUUAGAGCGGCCCGCGUCUGAUUAGCUAGUUGGUGAGGUAAAGGCUCACCAAGGCGACGAUCAGUAGCUGGUCUGAGAGGAUGAUCAGCCACAUUGGGACUGAGACACGGCCCAAACUCCUACGGGCGGCAGCAGUGGGGAAUCUUGCGCAAUGGGCGAAAGCCUGACGCAGCCAUGCCGCGUGAAUGAUGAAGGUCUUAGGAUUGUAAAAUUCUUUCACCGGGGACGAUAAUGACGGUACCCGGAGAAGAAGCCCCGGCUAACUUCGUGCCAGCCGCCGCCGUAA
RNAcentral lists this ribosomal RNA (449 nucleotides) under uncultured bacterium. RNAcentral describes it as "partial 16S ribosomal RNA". It matches the Rfam family "Bacterial small subunit ribosomal RNA", at positions 29 to 523 of the family's 1533-position model. The record is from RNAcentral.